This is an unclassified non-coding RNA of Mesocricetus auratus (golden hamster), 291 nucleotides long. Its record names the gene 7SK. It matches the Rfam family "7SK RNA". From Rfam's summary of the family: 7SK was discovered as an abundant small nuclear RNA in the mid-70s but a possible function has only recently been suggested. Two independent studies have found that 7SK RNA binds the CDK9/cyclin T complex (known as elongation factor P-TEFb). P-TEFb activates transcription by phosphorylating the C-terminal domain of RNA polymerase II. The record is from Ensembl. NCBI's taxonomy places the organism in Eukaryota, Metazoa, Chordata, Mammalia, Rodentia, Cricetidae.
GGAUAUGAGGGCAAUCUGGCUGGGAUAUCCAUUACCCCAUUGACCAUAGAGUCUUUGGGCUGAUCUGGCUAAGGAGGUAGGUGCUCCCUCCUUCCCCCAUUGUUCCGUGUGCAUUCCUCCCAAAGCUACACAUUUCAUCACAUGGGCUAACCUUUCCCUAUAGAGGAGGGAUAUUCUUAGGUCAAAGGCAAUCAAGCAGCUCUUCUCCUCUAAUGGAACAUCCUCAAAGCUCUUGUCCAAAAGAUGGAAGCAAUUCAUCUUUAUCAACCAGCAGGUGAAAAUAUAGAAUUU